This 1388-nucleotide long non-coding RNA is filed under the name Chrysolophus pictus (golden pheasant). RNAcentral's name for it is "lncRNA (ENSCPIG00010004643.1)". Lineage: Eukaryota; Metazoa; Chordata; Aves; Galliformes; Phasianidae. The record is from RNAcentral.
UCCAGAGGGAGUUCCUCUUGGCAAUAAUUUUGCAGGAAACAAAAAGCAGUUCUUUCUGCUUUCAGGCUAGCUAAAAGACAGAAGCCUUCUCCAUUAAUUGCACAACAUCUCCAGCUUUGCAACAGCUUGUUUGAAAAGAAGGCACUGAGACAUCUGAGAAGUCACUGGCAGGAGACAUGUCUGUUCACUCCCUCCAAGCAUGGCAAAGCCCUUCUCAUCACACCGACACAUUUCCAUGGGAUGGACAGGAGCCCUGCAGGAGUGGGACCAGCACAGUGGAUCUCUCCCUCCAUCCCCCACCAGAUUUAGCAUCGUGAGCCACUGACGUGUACUGGCCCUGAGCUGAGAGGGCGGUAACAUCCUCAACCCAGCAAAGCUGAACUGAUGAAGCUCAUGAAUCAAACGUUGGACACGAGGACUUCGACACAGUCAUCUCCUGUCCCGAGAGCAUCAUCUGGCUUUAGAGUCAGGGGUUGCUGGCUGCUGCCACACAGAUCCGGACCAUCACAUGGAGCAGGCACAAGCUGUAUGAAAGCAGAAAUGACUGCACUGUUGGCAUCAGCAAUAGCCCAUGCUAUGCAUGCAGACCCCAAAACAGGAGUGCAGCCCACUCCCACAUUUCCUGAUGAAAUCUGCUAUCAGAGCCCAUCCAAAUGUCCAAAAAUCAGGAGAGCUCAACCGGCCACGGAUGAAAUCUGCUAUCAGAGCCCAUCCAAAAAUCAGGAGAGCUCAACCGGUCACAGGGAAAAUCAAGUGCAACAGGACUUUGUACCUAAAUCUAAACACAGAAGACAAUGCUUGGAAAACAAAUUAUCUGAGCUUUUAUUAGGUUCUUAAUUCAGCUGGUUUUCCCCUCUGUUGGACUCCUGCUGCCUAAGAAGAGAUCUGUAUGACCAGGGCAUAAGUUCUACUGAAUGUUCAUGAGAGACUGGAGAGUUCCUGGGGUCUACUGGGAUUAGAGGGAAGGGCUGGUGACACCUGAUAGGCAGCUGGUCUGCAUCUGAAGCCAACUGUGACCCGUGCUUUAUUAGCACUAGACAUCUAUUUCAGGUCCCUUCCCUGUUCUCUGGCUUCUCGGAGGAGGUUUAAAAAACCCAUUCCUUGUGCUGUGGACAGGGUUGACAUUGAGGGAAGACACUGCUGUGACAGACUGCUUUGGACCAAUGUUUGUGACAAUUAUUGUGGCUGCUGCUGGUGUUUCACGUGCCCAUCUCUAUGGUACUCCCAUAGCUCUGAGUGGCCUUUGCAGAACUCUCUUACUGAUCUACCAGAAGUGCAACCUGGGUAGCAAUGAAGCUUAUGAAAGGCAUUUGCCCUCUAAAUCAUUGUUUCUCUCCUCGGUGUCCUUUUGAGGAAUAAACCAAAAUGUACGUGCUAAAUAAUGCUCA